Hemiscyllium ocellatum (epaulette shark) is the source of this 1113-nucleotide long non-coding RNA. RefSeq lists it as uncharacterized. The transcript is spliced from 3 exons. NCBI's taxonomy places the organism in Eukaryota, Metazoa, Chordata, Chondrichthyes, Orectolobiformes, Hemiscylliidae. The record is from RefSeq and is a predicted model, not a curated record.
CAGCACCCCCAGGGCACCCAGAGAGAGAGAGACAGCACCCCCGGGGCACCCAGAGAGAGAGAGACAGCACCCCCGGGACACCCAGAGAGAGAGAGAGAGAGACAGCACCCCCAGGGCACCCAGAGAGAGAGAGACAGCACCCCCGGGGCACCCAGAGAGAGAGAGAGACAGCACCCCCAGGGCACCCAGAGAAAGAGAGAGACAGCACCCCCAGGGCACCCAGAGAGAGAUAGCACCCCCAGGCACCCAGAGAGAGAGAGAGAGAGCACCCCCCCUGGGCACCCCAGAGAGAGAGAGAGAGAGAGACCCCCGAGGCACUCAGAGAGACAGUACCCAUAGGGCACCCAGAAAGAGAGAGAGACGGCAUCCAUAGGACACCCAAAGAGAGCACCCAUGGGGCACCCAGACACAGCACCCAGAGGGCAGUAACAGGGUGUCUAGAACAGCACCCAGAGAGAGCAACCACAGGGUACCCAGAGAUAGCACCCACAGGGUACCUAGGACAGCACUCACAGGGUACCCAGAGAUACCCCCACAGGACACACAGAGACAGCACCCACAGGGCACUAACAGGUACCUAGAACAGCAUCCACGGGGCACCCAGAGAUAGCACCCACAGGGCACCCAGAUACAACACCCAUAGGACACCCAGAAACCACACCCACUGGAUAGAGCAUCCAAAAUUGAACCCACAAAGCACAUAAAACAGCACCCAGAGGGAUGAAGACAAAAACUGUUGGAGAUUACAGCAGCCACGUGCGCAGCUCCUCUGAGGAACAAGGAAGUGUCUAACCUCUGUGUUUCUGGAUGAUCUGUGCCCAGCCAUAUAAAGAAAGUAAAGAAUGAUGUCUUAAAGGACCAGACUGAUUGUGAGGGCUUAUUGAUCGAUCAUGGAACAGAGAGACCCCAUAGGGGUCCAGAUCUUCAUCUGGUGCCAUGACUUGGUAUGGAUGGAUUGUGGGCAGCGAUGAGAGACGUGAGUCCUCCACAUUGAGUGUCGCGGAAUCGGCCAGCCAGAUCUCCUCUGAGGAACAUGGAAGCUUAUAACCUGUGUUUCCGGAUGCUGUGUAGCCGGCAGCAUGAAGAAAUAAGGAAUGACGUCUUAAAGAACCA